This 96-nucleotide transfer RNA is filed under the name Desulfuromonas carbonis. RNAcentral describes it as "tRNA-Sec". It matches the Rfam family "Selenocysteine transfer RNA". The record is from RNAcentral. Lineage: Bacteria; Pseudomonadati; Thermodesulfobacteriota; Desulfuromonadia; Desulfuromonadales; Desulfuromonadaceae. RNAcentral also lists the same sequence under 1 other name.
GGGAGUAGUUCGUAGUCUGGUGACGCGCCCGGUCUUCAAAACCGGUGGCGGGCGUAUCCCGUCCGCGGUGGGUUCGAUCCCCAUCUACUCCCGCCA